UACGUAGGGUGCAAGCGUUGUCCGGAAUUAUUGGGCGUAAAGAGCUCGUAGGCGGUCUGUCGCGUCGGCUGUGAAAACCCGGGGCUCAACCCCGGGCCUGCAGUCGAUACGGGCAGACUAGAGUGCGGUAGGGGAGACUGGAAUUCCCGGUGUAGCGGUGAAAUGCGCAGAUAUCAGGAAGAACACCCGUGGCGAAGGCGGCUCUCUGGGACGGUACUGACGCUGAGACGCGAAAGCGUGGGGAGCGAACAGG
RNAcentral lists this ribosomal RNA (253 nucleotides) under uncultured bacterium. RNAcentral describes it as "partial 16S ribosomal RNA". It matches the Rfam family "Bacterial small subunit ribosomal RNA", at positions 524 to 776 of the family's 1533-position model. The record is from RNAcentral.